Long non-coding RNA from Megachile rotundata (alfalfa leafcutting bee), 1238 nucleotides. NCBI's taxonomy places the organism in Eukaryota, Metazoa, Arthropoda, Insecta, Hymenoptera, Megachilidae. The record is from RefSeq and is a predicted model, not a curated record.
GAGACCAAACACGGUGUAAUUCAGCACAUAUUUAUUUGUCAUUUCAAAUGUUGAGCGUACAUCGAUGACUUUACCACAAUAAGAUAUUGCCAGUAAAUAUAAUUCAAAUUACACCGUGUUUAGUCUCAUUUUAAUCAGAACAAUGUUACAAAUAUGCUGGUGAAAGUUAUAUGUAAAAAAAGUCAAUAAUAGAAAAGUUUUACAAUUUCAUGUAUAGUGUCCCCAAUGUUUAUCGUAUGUCGAUGAGUCUUUCCCUCUCUUUUUGGGGUCCCUCCCUUAUUCCUGGUGAUGGGGAUGAUUUCUUCGCGUGUCGAUUUCUGUGUAAAGCGUAGUAGCGAAAAGAAAAACAAGAAUAAUAAUAAAAUAAAAAAUAAUGGAACCACUCGGUGGAAAUGACGAAUUGUACAGACCGCGACCAGAAUGGUGGCCGCCGAGAGCAUGGUGGCCAGCGCGGCCAGGAUAGCUGCCGCAGCCACCACCGCCACCGUUUCCGGCGGGACCGCUGCCGCCCCCGGCGAUGUUGUUGCCAACGGGGGGACCAGGGGUGCCACUCCAGACCCCGUCCCCGGCCCCCGCCCCGCGCCCACCGUCACCACCGGCUCCUAGAAUGACGUCACUGUCAACGAAGGAGCAACGCGCGUCGAGGGAACACGCCGCUGCUCUGCCGCUACCCCGCUCGGACCCUCCGAUAGACCAAGAGAGGCAGCGAAGUAAGAGAAAAGAACCCAGCGAGAAAAGACGUAAGUACGCCGAAGGAAAGUGCCGAUUCCCUGCCGCUUCCCCGCUUCGGUCCUACGAUAGAAGAAGAGAGGCUGUGGAGACGGAGGAGGUCCUGCCGAAGAAGACUUCGAUAGAAUUCGGAGACUCCGGCCGAGGGUGGGGGAAGGCUACGAGGUGUCCUAAUACAUAAAAGUUUCACGAAAAAAUAGUAAGAAAUAAGAAAGUUACAAUCUUUUCCUUUGCUUGCAUUAGUAUGUGUCUCACCGAUAUUUGAUCCUCGUCAUUUCGACGACUGAUCGUAUUUCAUUCUUGACUGAUUCCGAAGGGGAUCCCCCCAGUAGUGAGGAUAGAAUUUUAACAUUUACGCUAGAGAUCUUUUUAUCAUUUACGGAGAGAAUACUGUAGUACCUAUUGUAUAAAUGUGAAACUCCAGACCCAAAAAUGUUUACACCUCAUUAUUUUUAUCUUAUUGCAGGUGAACAGGCGACGGAGAAGGAGAAUGGCGGCCGCGUUGCGGC